Long non-coding RNA from Suricata suricatta (meerkat), 614 nucleotides. RefSeq lists it as uncharacterized. The transcript has 3 exons. The record is from RefSeq and is a predicted model, not a curated record. Lineage: Eukaryota; Metazoa; Chordata; Mammalia; Carnivora; Herpestidae.
UUACAGGGAAGUAAAACCAUUUUGGAAAACAGCUGAUCUUACUCCAGAGGAAAGCAGCCUAGGAAAAACUGAAGCAUGCCAGGGGAAAACCACAGAUGCAGUCUUGCUCUUUACUGCCCCCAUUUUGCUCACAGUGCUGUUAGAGCGCUCUAGAAGUGGAAUAACUCCUCUCUUUUCACAUGGAACAGUGACCAGGAUUUGGGGACUACCUCUGUAUGUUCUGUUCAUGGCAUUUUCACAUACUGGAAAGCGUUGUGGCUUUUUUUCUGAAUGUCGAGCCAAGAUCUGACCAUUAGCUGCCCAGCGGGAGGUUACAUUGCCCAGCUUCCUCCGCAAUAAUGUGUGGCCAGAUGAGGCAUUUCCUCCUAUGAGAUGUGAGUAGACGAGAUAUGUACAGCCUCUGCUGCUUUCCCAGCAGAGAAUCACUUCAUCUGGACUUCCUGUUUUCCUCCGUUCCUGCAGACUGGAGGGCAGACUUCAGAGCCCAGCCUUCAUUCUGCAGACAGGAAUGGCCGCCUGGGAAGAGCACCAUUAAUGGAACUUACAGGCACUCCCUUUCUCUGGACUAGUCAGGAGAGUUGCAUAAAAGCAAAUAAAACUUCAUUUUAUUUGGA